UGGGGAAUAUUGGACAAUGGGCGCAAGCCUGCUCCAGCCAUGCCGCGUGAGUGAUGAAGGCCCUAGGGUUGUAAAGCUCUUUCACCGGUGAAGAUAAUGACGGUAACCGGAGAAGAAGCCCCGGCUAACUUCGUGCCAGCAGCCGCGGUAAUACGAAGGGGGCUAGCGUUGUUCGGAUUUACUGGGCGUAAAGCGCACGUAGGCGGACUUUUAAGUCAGGGGUGAAAUCCCGGGGCUCAACCCCGGAACUGCCUUUGAUACUGGAAGUCUUGAGUAUGGUAGAGGUGAGUGGAAUUCCGCGUGUAGAAGUGAAAUUCGUAGAUAUUCGGAGGAACACCAGUGGCGAAGGCGGCUCACUGGACCAUUACUGACGCUGAGGUGCGAAAGCGUGGGGAGCAAACAGG
RNAcentral lists this ribosomal RNA (404 nucleotides) under Actinomycetes bacterium. RNAcentral describes it as "Actinobacteria bacterium partial 16S ribosomal RNA". It matches the Rfam family "Bacterial small subunit ribosomal RNA", at positions 355 to 776 of the family's 1533-position model. Lineage: Bacteria; Bacillati; Actinomycetota; Actinomycetes. The record is from RNAcentral.